CUACGGGAGGCAGCAGUGGGGGAUAUUGCACAAUGGAGGAAACUCUGAUGCAGCGACGCCGCGUGAGGGAAGAAGGUUUUCGGAUUGUAAACCUCUGUCUUCGGGGACGAAACAAAUGACGGUACUCGAGGAGGAAGCCACGGCUAACUACGUGCCAGCAGCC
This 163-nucleotide ribosomal RNA is filed under the name uncultured Anaerofilum sp. Its description in RNAcentral is "partial 16S ribosomal RNA". It matches the Rfam family "Bacterial small subunit ribosomal RNA", at positions 339 to 516 of the family's 1533-position model. Lineage: Bacteria; Bacillati; Bacillota; Clostridia; Eubacteriales; Oscillospiraceae. The record is from RNAcentral.